UGGUUCUGGCAUCGAUGAAGAACGCAGCGAAAUGCGAUAAGUAAUGUGAAUUGCAGAAUUCAGUGAAUCAUCGAAUCUUUGAACGCACAUUGCACUCCUCGGUUUUCCGGGGAGUAUGCCUGUCCGAGCGUCAUUACAUCUCUCAAGCUCUGCUUGGUCGUGGGCCUCGCUUUUCUAAGGGCGUGCCUGAAAUGGAGUGAGCGGGUCCCGUGGGGCCUUGAACGUAGUAAAUUUAUCCCGUUCUGAAGGCUCCCGCGGUGACCAGCCACAACAACCUCAAUUCUGACGAUUGACCUCGGAUCAAGUAGGGAUACCCGCUGA
RNAcentral lists this unclassified non-coding RNA (321 nucleotides) under uncultured fungus. Its description in RNAcentral is "partial contains 5.8S ribosomal RNA and internal transcribed spacer 2". The stretch from base 1 to 133 matches the Rfam family "5.8S ribosomal RNA", at positions 22 to 154 of the family's 154-position model. Lineage: Eukaryota; Fungi. The record is from RNAcentral.